AGGGCGUUUGGUGGAUGCCUUGGCGCAUGGAGGCGAUGAAGGACGUGUUAGGCUGCGAUAAGCCCGGAGGAGCUGCCAAAGAGCUUUGAUCCCGGGAUGUCCGAAUGGGGAAACCCACCCUUAGGGGUAUCGGCAUCUGAAUACAUAGGAUGUCGAGGCAAACGCGGGGAAUUGAAACAUCUUAGUACCCGUAGGAAAGGAAAUCGAAGAGACUCCGUUAGUAGUGGCGAGCGAACGCGGACCAGGCCA
This 249-nucleotide ribosomal RNA is filed under the name Madagascaria erythrocladioides. RNAcentral describes it as "partial Bacterial large subunit ribosomal RNA". It matches the Rfam family "Bacterial large subunit ribosomal RNA", at positions 14 to 271 of the family's 2925-position model. The record is from RNAcentral. Lineage: Eukaryota; Rhodophyta; Compsopogonophyceae; Erythropeltidales; Erythrotrichiaceae.